RNAcentral lists this long non-coding RNA (989 nucleotides) under Homo sapiens (human). RNAcentral describes it as "long non-coding RNA NONHSAT213202.1". Lineage: Eukaryota; Metazoa; Chordata; Mammalia; Primates; Hominidae. The record is from RNAcentral.
CUGUAAGGACAGAUAGCAGGGCCUGCCCUCUGGCCAGCAAUUUCUCUUCUUCUUUUUCCAUGUGGCUUGUCAUAGUGGGAAACGAGACAGAAAACAGAGCACUACGUUCCUUAUGACAAACAAAAGGAAUCCACAGAAACUUGGUAAAAGAAGCAGAGAAGACACUACUCCAUAUGUGUAAAAUGUGGAGCCCCAUGACCUCCUCUGCCUCAUUGCCUGCUCUGCCUCUCAAAGAGCUUCAGCAAAACACAGAAGCACAGCAGUGGCACGUGGAUGGAUACCUUUAUAAAAGAGAACCACAAUCUUCUGAAAGGCUUUCAUGAAAUGGAUGUUGUCGUAGCAGUAUUCCUGAACCUUCUGGAGGAGGAUCAGCUCUGACUGGCCUUGGGAGCUGAACACGGCCAGCAGGGGAGCAUAUUGCUAGAACAGAAGUGGAGAGUAAAAGCCGUCACUUGCGUGGGAGAAAUGCCAGCAGUGACUUGAGCAGCCUUCAAAAGCAGAAGGAGCCGGGCAGUCCCAGUCCCUGUGCUGGCUGGAGGAAGCCACAUAAAAGUGUGACAUCCUGGCAUCUACAAGCAUCACAAGGCUUUUUAUGUUUGCUUCUUUUCCCCAUGGAAAAUAAUGUACAAAUUCUUGCUUGGAGAAAUAUGAUUAAAUAUACUGCUAUCCUUAGGCGAGAAAACAGGAGCCUCGUUACCUUCUUUGACUAAGCUGUCGGUGAAGAGACUGGUGAGGAUGGUGGCGGGCAGGGUGCCAUUGCCCAGCAGAAUCCCCGACAGCAUCGCCAACUUUGUCUGCUCUGUUUCGGAAAAGGCUUUAAGGAAGAGGAGAAGCUGUGGGUCAAAAAAAAAAAAAAAAAAAGAAAAAGAAAAAGAAAAAAAAAGGAACCAUGUCUAUGAAGCAAAGGACUGAAGUGGGAAGAUAAACUGUGAACAUCCAUGGCUACGUGGCACACAAACAGAAGGUCAUAUGCAAAGCAUAGUAAUUCA